Myotis lucifugus (little brown bat) is the source of this 73-nucleotide non-coding RNA. The record is from Rfam. Lineage: Eukaryota; Metazoa; Chordata; Mammalia; Chiroptera; Vespertilionidae.
GGCCCGGUGGCUCUGUUGGUUAGAGCAUUGUCCUGAUGCGCCAAGGUUGUGGGUUUGUUUCCCAUUCAGGGUA